This 1377-nucleotide ribosomal RNA is filed under the name uncultured eukaryote. Its description in RNAcentral is "SSU rRNA". It matches the Rfam family "Eukaryotic small subunit ribosomal RNA", at positions 384 to 1786 of the family's 1831-position model. The record is from RNAcentral.
CGGAGAGGGAGCAUGAGAAACGGCUACCACAUCUAAGGAAGGCAGCAGGCGCGCAAAUUACCCAAUCCUGACACAGGGAGGUAGUGACAAGAAAUAACAAAGCAAGCACCAAUGGUGUUUUGCUAUUGGAAUGAGUAGAAUUUAAAUCUCUUUUCGACUAUCAGUUGGAGGGCAAGUCUGGUGCCAGCAGCCGCGGUAAUUCCAGCUCCAAUAGCGUAUAUUAAAGUUGUUGCGGUAAAAAAGCUCGUAGUUGGAUUUCUGUUGCGAAUGGCCGGUCUUCACUACGUGAAUGUAUCUGGCUCAAUCGUGGCAUCCUCAUAGGAAACGUUGCUGCGCUUCACUGCGUGGUGCGGUGCCUAUGACUUUUACUUUGAGGAAAUUAGAGUGUUCACGGCAGGCAAUCGCCCUGAAUAUGUUAGCAUGGAAUAAUAAUAUAGGAUCUUGGUUCUAUUUUGUUGGUUUCUAGAGCUAAGAUAAUGGUUAAUAGGAACAAUUGGGGGCAUUUGUAUUAACAUGUCAGAGGUGGAAUUCUUGGAUUAUGUUACGACAAACUACUGCGAAAGCAUUUGCCAAGGAUGUUUUCAUUGAUCAAGAACGAAAGUAAGGGGAUCGAAGAUGAUUAGAUACCGUCGUAGUCUUUACCAUAAACUAUGUCAACUCGGGACGUAGCGUCGUUCUUUUUAUGACUCGCUGCGCACCGUAUGAGAUAUCAAAGUUUUUGGAUUCCGGGGGGAGUAUGGUCGCAAGGCUGAAACUUAAAGGAAUUGACGGAAGGGCUCCACUAGGAGUGGAGCCUGCGGUUUAAUUCGACUCAACACGGGAAACUCAUCAGGUCCAGACAUAGUGAGGAUGGACAGAAUGAUAGCUCUGUCUUGAUUCUAUGGGUGGCGGUGCAUGUCCGAUCUUAGUUAGUGGAGUGAUUUGUUUGCUUAAUUGCGUUAACGAACGAGACCUCAACAUAUUAAAUAGACCAUCCUAUCAUAGGAUAAGCUGCUGUCUUAUUAGAGGGACUUUGCUCACUUCAGGGUAGGGAAGUUUGAGUCUAAAUCAGGUAUGUAAUGACAUUAGAUGUUCUGGGCUGCACGCGCGCUACACUGAUGCGUUCAACGAGAGUAAAACCAUGCCAGGCAUGGUUGGGUAAUCUUCUGAACUCGCAUCGUGAAGGGGAUAGAUUAUUGCAAUUUUUAAUCUUCAACGAGGAAAUCAUAGUAAGUUGAAGUCAUCAGAUUCGAUUGAUUACGUCCCUGCCCUCUGUACACGCCUCCCGUCGCUUGUACCGAUUGAGUGUUUCGGUGAAUACUUUGGCCUGACACCGUUAUGGGUUCGCUCAUUUUGGCGAAGGAAAAUAGAGUAAACCUCAACAAUGAGAAGAAGAGA